CGGGUACUGCCUCGCACGUUAGAAUCUAGGACCCAGGGGCCGUAAUCAGACCUCAACGGGAGCUGUCUCUGGCCCGGACCGUGGUCCGGAUCAUAUGGCGCCCACCUGCUUAAGCAGGCCCGUGAGGAUCCGUAGUUCGACGGCAUGGUGGUCCCGCC
Molecule: non-coding RNA, 158 nt
Filed under: Alphaproteobacteria bacterium
Lineage: Bacteria; Pseudomonadati; Pseudomonadota; Alphaproteobacteria
Description: 6S RNA
Rfam family: 6S / SsrS RNA
About the family: E. coli 6S RNA was the first non coding RNA to be sequenced, but its function was unknown until recently.
Source: RNAcentral